UGAGGAAUAUUGGUCAAUGGACGAGAGUCUGAACCAGCCAAGUAGCGUGAAGGAUGACUGCCCUAUGGGUUGUAAACUUCUUUUAUACGGGAAUAAAGUGGUCCACGUGUGGACUUUUGUAUGUACCGUAUGAAUAAGGAUCGGCUAACUCCGUGCCAGCAGCCGCGGUAAUACGGAGGAUCCGAGCGUUAUCCGGAUUUAUUGGGUUUAAAGGGAGCGUAGGUGGACAGUUAAGUCAGUUGUGAAAGUUUGCGGCUCAACCGUAAAAUUGCAGUUGAUACUGGCUGUCUUGAGUACAGUAGAGGUGGGCGGAAUUCGUGGUGUAGCGGUGAAAUGCUUAGAUAUCACGAAGAACUCCGAUUGCGAAGGCAGCUCACUGGACUGCAACUGACACUGAUGCUCGAAAGUGUGGGUAUCAAACAGGAUUAGAUACCCUGGUAGUCCACACAGUAAACGAUGAAUACUCGCCUGUUUGCGAUAUACAGUAAGCGGCCAAGCGAAAGCGUUAAGUAUUCCACCUGGGGAGUACGCCGGCAACGGUGAAACUCAAAGGAAUUGACGGGGGCCCGCACAAGCGGAGGAACAUGUGGUUUAAUUCGAUGAUACGCGAGGAACCUUACCCGGGCUUAAAUUGCAUUUGAAUAAUCAAGAAAUUGGUUAGUCGUAAGACAAAUGUGAAGGUGCUGCAUGGUUGUCGUCAGCUCGUGCCGUGAGGUGUCGGCUUAAGUGCCAUAACGAGCGCAACCCUUAUCUUCAGUUACUAACAGGUCAUGCUGAGGACUCUGGAGAGACUGCCGUCGUAAGAUGUGAGGAAGGUGGGGAUGACGUCAAAUCAGCACGGCCCUUACGUCCGGGGCUACACACGUGUUACAAUGGGGGGUACAGAAGGCAGCUACACGGCGACGUGAUGCCAAUCCCGAAAACCUCUCUCAGUUCGGAUCGAAGUCUGCAACCCGACUUCGUGAAGCUGGAUUCGCUAGUAAUCGCGCAUCAGCCAUGGCGCGGUGAAUACGUUCCC
RNAcentral lists this ribosomal RNA (1018 nucleotides) under uncultured bacterium. RNAcentral's name for it is "bacterial SSU rRNA". It matches the Rfam family "Bacterial small subunit ribosomal RNA", at positions 355 to 1375 of the family's 1533-position model. The record is from RNAcentral.